Molecule: ribosomal RNA, 585 nt
Filed under: uncultured fungus
Lineage: Eukaryota; Fungi
Description: eukaryotic LSU rRNA
Rfam family: 5.8S ribosomal RNA (bases 174-327)
Source: RNAcentral
UCCGUAGGUGAACCUGCGGAAGGAUCAUUACCGAGUGCGGGCCCUCUGGGUCCAACCUCCCAUCCGUGUCUAUCUGUACCCUGUUGCUUCGGCGUGGCCACGGCCCGCCGGAGACUAACAUUUGAACGCUGUCUGAAGUUUGCAGUCUGAGUUUUUAGUUAAACAAUCGUUAAAACUUUCAACAACGGAUCUCUUGGUUCCGGCAUCGAUGAAGAACGCAGCGAAAUGCGAUAAUUAAUGUGAAUUGCAGAAUUCAGUGAAUCAUCGAGUCUUUGAACGCACAUUGCGCCCCCUGGUAUUCCGGGGGGCAUGCCUGUCCGAGCGUCAUUGCUGCCCUCAAGCACGGCUUGUGUGUUGGGCUUCCGUCCCUGGCAACGGGGACGGGCCCAAAAGGCAGUGGCGGCACCAUGUCUGGUCCUCGAGCGUAUGGGGCUUUGUCACCCGCUCCCGUAGGUCCAGCUGGCAGCUAGCCUCGCAACCAAUCUUUUUAACCAGGUUGACCUCGGAUCAGGUAGGGAUACCCGCUGAACUUAAGCAUAUCAAUAAGCGGAGGAAAAGAAACCAACAGGGAUUGCCCCAGUAACG